CCCCCUCUUCGGGCUGAAUUUCUUCUCCUCGAGCACCCUCUUCCUCUUGCUCGAUCUGCUCGUCAGCAUCUUCCAACUGCUCGCCGGUAGACUUCUUUUUUGUCCUUUUCUUCUUGCUCUUCUUCCGGGGCUCACUGGAAGGAGGGACAUCACUCGUCUCCUCAGUACUCCUCCCGGCUCCCGAACCAUCGCCUCUUUUUCUUUUCUUUCCCUUCCCCGCACUUCUGGCAUCGGAAGGGAAAACCUCGUCAGAACGAGGAACCGCCGUUGAGGGUCCUUCCCCGCUAGUCAGCCCCAGCUGGGCCGCUAUUAUUGCGCUCAAAUCAGGAAGAGUGCCCAUCUUCUUCGCCUCGGUAAUUUGUUUUUGG
This 368-nucleotide long non-coding RNA is filed under the name Brassica napus (rape). Its description in RNAcentral is "long non-coding RNA (BNAP_LNC021310)". The record is from RNAcentral. Lineage: Eukaryota; Viridiplantae; Streptophyta; Magnoliopsida; Brassicales; Brassicaceae.